GACGAACGCUGGCGGCGUGCUUAACACAUGCAAGUCGAGCGGAAAGGCCCUGCGGGGUACUCGAGCGGCGAACGGGUGAGUAACACGUGAGUAACCUGCCCCAGACUUUGGGAUAACCCGCGGAAACGGGGGCUAAUACCGGAUACGACACAGCUUCGCAGGGGGGCUGUGUGGAAAGUUGUUCGGUGUGGGAUGGGCUCGCGGCCUAUCAGCUUGUUGGGGGGGUGAUGGCCGGCCAAGGCGACGACUGGUAGCCGGCCGGAGAGGGCCACCGGCCACCCUGCGCCUACGACACGCCCCAGACUCCUACGGUAGGCAGCAGUGGGGAAUAUUGCACAAUGGGCGGAAGCCUGAUGCAGCGACGCCGCGUGAGUGAUGACGGCCUUCGGGUUGUAAACCUCUUUCAGCAGGGACGAAGCGUAAGUGACGGUACCUGCAGAAGAAGCGCCGGCCAACUACGUG
RNAcentral lists this ribosomal RNA (462 nucleotides) under uncultured bacterium. RNAcentral's name for it is "partial 16S ribosomal RNA". It matches the Rfam family "Bacterial small subunit ribosomal RNA", at positions 28 to 507 of the family's 1533-position model. The record is from RNAcentral.